UGGGGAAUAUUGCACAAUGGGCGAAAGCCUGAUGCAGCGACGCCGCGUGAGGGAUGGAGGCCUUCGGGUUGUAAACCUCUUUCAGUAAGGGUGAAGGCUCUCUUUUGUGGAGGGUUGACAGUACUUGCAGAAGAAGCGCUGGCUAACUACGUGCCAGCAGCCGCGGUAAUACGUAGGGCGCGAGCGUUGUCCGGAAUUAUUGGGCGUAAAGGGCUUGUAGGUGGCGUGUCGCGUCUGCUGUGAAAUUCCAGGGCUUAACUUUGGGAUUGCAGUGGGUACGGGCAUGCUAGAGUGCAGUAGGGGAGAUUGGAAUUCCUGGUGUAGCGGUGAAAUGCGCAGAUAUCAGGAGGAACACCGGUGGCGAAGGCGGGUCUCUGGGCUGUUACUGACGCUGAGGAGCGAAAGCGUGGGGAGCGAACAGG
RNAcentral lists this ribosomal RNA (422 nucleotides) under Verrucomicrobiota bacterium. RNAcentral describes it as "Verrucomicrobia bacterium partial 16S ribosomal RNA". It matches the Rfam family "Bacterial small subunit ribosomal RNA", at positions 355 to 776 of the family's 1533-position model. Lineage: Bacteria; Pseudomonadati; Verrucomicrobiota. The record is from RNAcentral.